GGGCAGCAAUGUCACUGUCGUACGGGUGCGUAACGCGUAUGCAACCUACCUAUCACUGGGGGAUAGCCCGGGGAAACCCGGAUUAAUACCGCAUAAUACAGGGGGCCCACAUGGGUCUAUUUGUUAAAGAUUUAUCGGUGGUAGAUGGGCAUGCGUUCGAUUAGCUAGUUGGCGGGGUAACGGCCCACCAAGGCGACGAUCGAUAGGGGAGCUGAGAGGUUGAUCCCCCACACGGGCACUGAGAUACGGGCCCGACUCCUACGGGAGGCAGCAGUAGGGAAUAUUGGGCAAUGGAUGCAAGUCUGACCCAGCCAUGCCGCGUGCCGGAUGAAGGCCCUCAGGGUUGUAAACGGCUUUUAUUCGGGAAGAAGAUCAGGGAUGCGUCCUUGUGUGACGGUACCGAAUGAAUAAGCACCGGCUAACUCCGUGC
RNAcentral lists this ribosomal RNA (430 nucleotides) under bacterium S3-018-16S. RNAcentral describes it as "bacterial SSU rRNA". It matches the Rfam family "Bacterial small subunit ribosomal RNA", at positions 81 to 508 of the family's 1533-position model. The record is from RNAcentral.